AUUUGCCAACCACCAGACCAGGCUGCUCAGAGCAACAUCCAGCCUGGCCUUGAAUGCAUCCAGAGAUGGGGCAUCCAGAUUUAGGAUCUGCCUUAUAAUAGAUUUGUCCAAUUAGGCUAUCUUACAGCAGAGCAAAAACUUUCAAAGAUUUUUCAUCUGAAAAGACUUUGAGAUGGUAUAUUUAGGACAUACAGUACCCAAGGUGAUAAGGAAGGUUUAAUGGCCAUCAUGCUCUUUGCAGUUGAAUCCAGAGCUGGUGCUUGGAUCUGGAAACCUGAGAGCCUCUUGUCAUAGUGAAGAGUUGGCAGAAGUUGAGUGAGGUAGCAAGUUGCCCUGAAAUGGGCUUGGACACUUGUGUGUGGCUAUGUGCUGUAAUGUCAGAGCAGCAAUGAACACGAGCAUCCCAAUUGCAGACCAGAUUGCUUCUAGAGAAGUCACUGGAGAGAAAACCAUGGACUGGUGAGCAGCUUUGACCCAAGGCUUUCCCAUGUCACAUCACAAUUUUCUGAGUUUGCCUGGAGUAACAAGACACUGGAUGGUAAAGGAAAUGAAUCCUUCAUAUGUUGUCUGAGCCCAGCAGGGAAACAGAAAUGCUUUCCAAAAAGAGAAAAGAAAGAAAAAUCGUUUUGUGUUUGCAGUCUGCUUGUGUGUUGCUUGGAGAAAAUCAGCACAUCUGAAAAGGCAGCAUCUGGUAAGGAAAGCAUGGAUGCAGCAGAAUAG
Molecule: long non-coding RNA, 720 nt
Filed under: Coturnix japonica (Japanese quail)
Lineage: Eukaryota; Metazoa; Chordata; Aves; Galliformes; Phasianidae
Description: lncRNA (ENSCJPG00005020771.1)
Source: RNAcentral